GAUUAAGUUAUUAAGGGCGCACGGUGGAUGCCUUGGCACUAGAAGCCGAUGAAGGACGUUACUAACGACGAUAUGCUUUGGGGAGCUGUAAGUAAGCUUUGAUCCAGAGAUUUCCGAAUGGGGAAACCCAGCAUGAGUUAUGUCAUGUUAUCGAUAUGUGAAUACAUAGCAUAUCAGAAGGCACACCCGGAGAACUGAAACAUCUUAGUACCCGGAGGAAGAGAAAGAAAAUUCGAUUCCCUUAGUAGCGGCGAGCGAAACGGGAAGAGCCCAAACCAACAAGCUUGCUUGUUGGGGUUGUAGGACACUCUAUACGGAGUUACAAAGGACGACAUUAGACGAAUCAUCUGGAAAGAUGAAUCAAAGAAGGUAAUAAUCCUGUAGUCGAAAAUGUUGUCUCUCUUGAGUGGAUCCUGAGUACGACGGAGCACGUGAAAUUCCGUCGGAAUCUGGGAGGACCAUCUCCUAAGGCUAAAUACUCUCUAGUGACCGAUAGUGAACCAGUACCGUGAGGGAAAGGUGAAAAGCACCCCGGAAGGGGAGUGAAAUAGAACCUGAAACCGUGUGCUUACAAGUAGUCAGAGCCCGUUAAUGGGUGAUGGCGUGCCUUUUGUAGAAUGAACCGGCGAGUUACGAUUUGAUGCAAGGUUAAGCAGUAAAUGUGGAGCCGUAGCGAAAGCGAGUCUGAAUAGGGCGUUUAGUAUUUGGUCGUAGACCCGAAACCAGGUGAUCUACCCUUGGUCAGGUUGAAGUUCAGGUAACACUGAAUGGAGGACCGAACCGACUUACGUUGAAAAGUGAGCGGAUGAACUGAGGGUAGCGGAGAAAUUCCAAUCGAACCUGGAGAUAGCUGGUUCUCUCCGAAAUAGCUUUAGGGCUAGCCUCAAGUGAUGAUUAUUGGAGGUAGAGCACUGUUUGGACGAGGGGCCCCUCUCGGGUUACCGAAUUCAGACAAACUCCGAAUGCCAAUUAAUUUAACUUGGGAGUCAGAACAUGGGUGAUAAGGUCCGUGUUCGAAAGGGAAACAGCCCAGACCACCAGCUAAGGUCCCAAAAUAUAUGUUAAGUGGAAAAGGAUGUGGCGUUGCCCAGACAACUAGGAUGUUGGCUUAGAAGCAGCCAUCAUUUAAAGAGUGCGUAAUAGCUCACUAGUCGAGUGACACUGCGCCGAAAAUGUACCGGGGCUAAACAUAUUACCGAAGCUGUGGAUUGUCCUUUGGACAAUGGUAGGAGAGCGUUCUAAGGGCGUUGAAGCAUGAUCGUAAGGACAUGUGGAGCGCUUAGAAGUGAGAAUGCCGGUGUGAGUAGCGAAAGACGGGUGAGAAUCCCGUCCACCGAUUGACUAAGGUUUCCAGAGGAAGGCUCGUCCGCUCUGGGUUAGUCGGGUCCUAAGCUGAGGCCGACAGGCGUAGGCGAUGGAUAACAGGUUGAUAUUCCUGUACCACCUAUAAUCGUUUUAAUCGAUGGGGGGACGCAGUAGGAUAGGCGAAGCGUGCGAUUGGAUUGCACGUCUAAGCAGUAAGGCUGAGUAUUAGGCAAAUCCGGUACUCGUUAAGGC
This 1557-nucleotide ribosomal RNA is filed under the name Staphylococcus aureus. RNAcentral's name for it is "partial 23S ribosomal RNA". It matches the Rfam family "Bacterial large subunit ribosomal RNA", at positions 1 to 1556 of the family's 2925-position model. The record is from RNAcentral. Lineage: Bacteria; Bacillati; Bacillota; Bacilli; Caryophanales; Staphylococcaceae.